UACAAAUAGGAUGGUGUUCUUGAUAGUUCA
Molecule: non-coding RNA, 30 nt
Filed under: Mus musculus (house mouse)
Lineage: Eukaryota; Metazoa; Chordata; Mammalia; Rodentia; Muridae
Also listed under: 1 other name
Source: RNAcentral